AGCGAACGCUGGCGGCAGGCUUAACACAUGCAAGUCGAACGCACGUAGCAAUACGUGAGUGGCAGACGGGUGAGGAACGCGUGGGAACAUGCCCUUCGGUUCGGAAUAACUCAGGGAAACUUGAGCUAAAACCGGAUAUCUCCGAGAGGAGAAAGAUUUAUCGCCGAAGGAUUGGCCCGCGUCUGAUUAGCUUGUUGGUGAGGUAACGGCUCACCAAGGCGACGAUCAGAGCUGGUCUGAGAGGAUGAUCAGCCACACUGGGACUGAGACACGGCCCAGACUCCUACGGGAGGCAGCAGUGGGGAAUAUUGGACAAUGGGCGCAAGCCUGAUCCAGCCAUGCCGCGUGAGUGAUGAAGGCCUUAGGGUUGUAAAGCUCUUUUGUCCGGGAAGAUAAUGACUGUACCGGAAGAA
This 413-nucleotide ribosomal RNA is filed under the name uncultured bacterium. RNAcentral describes it as "bacterial SSU rRNA". It matches the Rfam family "Bacterial small subunit ribosomal RNA", at positions 29 to 486 of the family's 1533-position model. The record is from RNAcentral.